Molecule: ribosomal RNA, 452 nt
Filed under: uncultured organism
Description: partial 16S ribosomal RNA
Rfam family: Bacterial small subunit ribosomal RNA
Source: RNAcentral
GUACACUCCUGCGGGAGGCAGCAGUGGGGAAUAUUGGACAAUGGGCGCAAGCCUGAUCCAGCCAUGCCGCGUGAGUGAUGAAGGCCCUAGGGUUGUAAAGCUCUUUCACCGGUGAAGAUAAUGACGGUAACCGGAGAAGAAGCCCCGGCUAACUUCGUGCCAGCAGCCGCGGUAAUACGAAGGGGGCUAGCGUUGUUCGGAUUUACUGGGCGUAAAGCGCACGUAGGCGGACUAUUAAGUCAGGGGUGAAAUCCCGGGGCUCAACCCCGGAACUGCCUUUGAUACUGGUAGUCUUGAGUUCGAGAGAGGUGAGUGGAAUUCCGAGUGUAGAGGUGAAAUUCGUAGAUAUUCGGAGGAACACCAGUGGCGAAGGCGGCUCACUGGCUCGAUACUGACGCUGAGGUGCGAAAGCGUGGGGAGCAAACAGGAUUAGAAACCCGUGUAGUCCCAUG